This 164-nucleotide ribosomal RNA is filed under the name Campeiostachys nutans. RNAcentral describes it as "Elymus nutans 5.8S ribosomal RNA". It matches the Rfam family "5.8S ribosomal RNA". Rfam says of the family: 5.8S ribosomal RNA (5.8S rRNA) is a component of the large subunit of the eukaryotic ribosome. The record is from RNAcentral. Lineage: Eukaryota; Viridiplantae; Streptophyta; Magnoliopsida; Poales; Poaceae.
CACACGACUCUCGGCAACGGAUAUCUCGGCUCUCGCAUCGAUGAAGAACGUAGCGAAAUGCGAUACCUGGUGUGAAUUGCAGAAUCCCGCGAACCAUUGAGUCUUUGAACGCAAGUUGCGCCCGAGGCCAUUCGGCCGAGGGCACGCCUGCCUGGGCGUCACGC